GUAAAGGAACUUUUGUAAAUAGGCCUUUAGUAACGUGGUGGUGAGGUGUGGAGUGAGAGGAAGUGUUCUAUAGUCCUCAGAUUAGAGCUCAGUCAUUUGGUGAGCCUGUCUCUGGACUGUGAACUUUAUAAGAGUUUCUCAGUUUUUUUUCCUCUUAGAUGAGACAGGAUGGCUGGAGUGCGCUGGAGUUGGAUAGUUUCCUUCUCCCAGGUGGAAGACAAGAGCAGGCCAGAAUUGGGUAUUUCCCUUCCCCCAGGUCACUUCGGCUCUGAUAAUAUCCCAGCAGGUUAGGAUCUGGUUAACUAGUUUCCACUGAGGCAGGCCUUGUUAAGAAAAGGCAUAGGGGCUGGCCUGAUUGCACAGUGGUUGAGUUUGUGUGCUCUGCUUCAGGUGCCCACAGUUUGCAGGUUCAGAUCCUGGGCACAGACGUAGCACCACUUGUCAAGCCACCCUGUAGUCGCAUCCCACAAAAUAGAGGAAGGUUGGCACAGAUGUUAGGUCAGUGACAAUCUUCCUCGCCUCACACACACGCAAAAAAGAUUACACUGGCAUAUUUCAAAAUGGUUCUUUUUUCCCCUCCCCCUACUGGAAGCACAAAGGAGAUUUUUCUCCAGUAUAUACUGUGGGAAUCUGGUUGAGCUCCUGGAGGUGAAUCUCACAGUAUUGUUGGGUUGGGGAGGUCCCCCUUUGAUUGAGUCCACCUGGGGAGUUUUUAACUCUUAGCGUUGUCCUCAUUGAGCCUCCAACAAUUCAUCAACUUUAGUUCUGGGUUUUCUUCCCGGCGCUGCUUCCUGCAGUGGUAUUGGCUCCUGAUUCUCUGCUCAGAUCUCAUCUAGGAGAAAGGUGAAGAUUCAUAUUUUGAACUCACACAAUGGAGAGUCCUCAGCUACUGUCAUUAGCACUGCCACUAAACACUGCAAAUCUCUGAAACUUGAAAAUACCAAUUGAGAACUGAAAAUCUGAAGAUUUAUAGAGGAUGUGAGAUAUUCUCAUAUCACUUUACCCUCUGAUUCACCUAACCAUCUAGAACAUGGGCAGUGAAAGACAUUAGCAGAUACUAACUAUUAAAAGAAUGAUGGUUAAAUCGUAACUUCACAAAGAGCUCAGAGGAAAAAGCAGACCUCUGCCUGCGGUGGUGUUAGCAGUGCACCUCAUUGGUAAUAUUGUGUCAGCUUAAAGGAGGGAAAGGGCCAUAGAAGCACACAAGUGAAAUGAAACAACCAACAGAAUGGUGACUAAGCUUUUAGGUUUCUUUCUCUCUUGUAAAUAAUAAGAUUCUCCUAUCUCUCUCCAUCUAUACCCUAGAGUUCAGUUCACUAAAAAAGAUAACAAUGGGUUCUAUAAUAAGAGUAUCGUUAAAAGUCAUCCUCAAGAAGAGGUUAAUAAAUACAUACUUUCACUUGCUUUUGUAAUGAACUCAUUGCAAAGCUAUGCUAAAACAUAAUAGCAUUGACAUAGCACGUAUUGCAUUAAAACUGAACAGUAUUUCCCUCAGAUUUGCAUGUAAUGUCAUUUUGUCAUAUUUUCUAGACUUGAAAAUGUGUCAUAAUUGGUUAUCUCCAAGGAACUCUGGACUCACACAUAGUGUGAUAAGAAUAAGAAAGUAUUUAAUUAGCCAAUAAUGACUCAGCUGUGUUUUGUUUUUCUAUAUAGUUUUUUGGACACAGUAAUAUCCUCAGGGGUGGCCUAAAAAUGAAGGUUAAUUUAUGCUCAACUUAUAACAAUGUCCCAUGUCUGACCAGAAUUUACAUCAGACAGUGAAAUGGGCUUUUAAAUAGCUUUUCUUUAAGAGAAGCUGAAGGGAAAAAAAAAUGUGCAAAAAGACGAAUAGGCAAAGUGCAUUGUGGUUUAUUUGCUUUGUGCUAGUAAAGCAUCCUGUAUUAUGCAGUUCCCCAUGGAAAUAAUCCCCGCCUUAAGGGUUUACAGCAUGAACAUUCAGAAGUAUC
Long non-coding RNA from Equus asinus (donkey), 1946 nucleotides. The record is from Ensembl. Lineage: Eukaryota; Metazoa; Chordata; Mammalia; Perissodactyla; Equidae.